Molecule: long non-coding RNA, 1026 nt
Filed under: Apteryx haastii (Great spotted kiwi)
Lineage: Eukaryota; Metazoa; Chordata; Aves; Apterygiformes; Apterygidae
Description: lncRNA (ENSAHAG00000004438.1)
Source: RNAcentral
AUGCCCUCAGGCAUGGUUGGAGCUCACUUUUCCUCUCCCUGCUCCCUGCCAGGCUGCGUGGCCACGAGCUCCCAUCGAUCCUCUCUCAGGAGCUGCUUCCAGGGUCUGGGAAGCAGCUUGCAGCUGAAAUGGGAGCACCGCAGCCCCCUCACCACCGUUGGCUGUCCCGUUGCCUGCCAGCCCCAAAAGUGGCCAGCUCCGCUCAGCAGGGGUGGUGGCAUCCGAGGGCUGCAGCGCCGGGCACUGGGAGAGCCCCAAGGCCAAGGGACCCAUCCCUGGUGCAAGGGGACAGAGGCAGGAGGAUGGCGCUGCUGGGUUUCUCCUUUGCUGGGUUGGGAGCAGCGAUGUCCCACCAUCCCGGAGCGGGGAUGCUGCAGGGCACUGCUCUGCAGAACUAUUCCCACCCACAUGCCCCCAUGCAGGGAUCCAUCGGACGUGUCUCUGUCCCUUGGGAAAAGUGCCGGGAACAGCCAUGUGCACAGCACGUUCCCUCUCUCGCCUGCGCCCCACGUGAGCCCAGUCUCACGGUCGCAGGCUCCGGCUCUGCACGGCAGAUGGUCCCAUACCGUGAGGGGCCGCCCGGGCCCCCUCGCCACGUGGCCCCGCUCACGGGGCCUCCACGCAGCUGCAGCCAGGGACCCCGGCCAGACCGGCGCAGGGGAUCAGCAGGGUUUCGACACCACCGCUUCAUCCAGCUUCACGCCACCUCCCCGCGGAGCCCAGCAUAUCCCCUCCCCAUCCUUAGGGACCUCGCUCCAGCAUCCUCCCUUUUCCCCAUCAUCCCUCUGCGCUCCGGGCUCAGCCGAGCCCGUAUCUCCCGCCCGGGCUACGGCUUUACCUGCCCGGUCCGCACACCUCGCCCAGGCACAGGGCCAGCGCAUUUUGCACCGCGCAAGCCCCAUGCGAAGCACAUUGUAUGCUAAUCACCCGGGGGUUCCCGCAGCCCGAGCCCUCGCUUCCCUUUGCCGCCGCCGGAUGAGAGCCCGGAAUAAGACGCUCCCGCUUUGGUUUUUCAUCAGUGAAUAG